Molecule: ribosomal RNA, 422 nt
Filed under: uncultured bacterium
Lineage: Bacteria
Description: bacterial SSU rRNA
Rfam family: Bacterial small subunit ribosomal RNA
Source: RNAcentral
GGCAGCACAGGUAGCACACCGGGUGGCGACCGGCGCACGGGUGAGUAACGCGUAUGCAACUUGCCUAUCAGAGGGGGAUAACCCGGCGAAAGUCGGACUAAUACCGCAUGAAGCAGGGGCCCCGCAUGGGGAUAUUUGCUAAAGAUUCAUCGCUGAUAGAUAGGCAUGCGUUCCAUUAGGCAGUUGGCGGGGUAACGGCCCACCAAACCGACGAUGGAUAGGGGUUCUGAGAGGAAGGUCCCCCACAUUGGUACUGAGACACGGACCAAACUCCUACGGGAGGCAGCAGUGAGGAAUAUUGGUCAAUGGGCGUAAGCCUGAACCAGCCAAGUCGCGUGAGGGAUGAAGGUUCUAUGGAUCGUAAACCUCUUUUAUAAGGGAAUAAAGUGCGGGACGUGUCCCGUUUUGUAUGUACCUUAUGA